This 260-nucleotide ribosomal RNA is filed under the name uncultured prokaryote. RNAcentral's name for it is "partial 16S ribosomal RNA". It matches the Rfam family "Bacterial small subunit ribosomal RNA", at positions 524 to 782 of the family's 1533-position model. The record is from RNAcentral.
UACGGAGGAUGCGAGCGUUAUCCGGAUUUAUUGGGUUUAAAGGGUGCGUAGGCGGCUUUUUAAGUCAGCGGUGAAAUUUUGCAGCUUAACUGUAACAGCGCCGUUGAUACUGGGGAGCUAGGAUUUGGUUGCUGUGGGUGGAAUGUGUGGUGUAGCGGUGAAAUGCUUAGAGAUCACACAGAAUAUCGAUUGCGAAGGCAGCUCACAAAGCCAAGAUUGACGCUGAGGCACGAAAGUGUGGGGAGUCAAACAGGAUUAGA